Molecule: long non-coding RNA, 452 nt
Organism: Alligator mississippiensis (American alligator)
Lineage: Eukaryota; Metazoa; Chordata; Crocodylia; Alligatoridae
Exons: 3
Source: RefSeq, a predicted model, not a curated record
UGCAGCCUUUGCUCUUACACAGUACUUUAAGUUUUCUGAUUUAUAAGUAGAUUCUCUCUGAACAAACUUAAGCAUUAUGGCCUAAUAAUUUAAAGACUUUAGUAUCAUCUCCAGACAAGUUCCAAGGUAAAAGUACUUCCUUUCAUUCAGCUGAGACAUUCUUCUUCAUUAUUUUUGACAAAUGUUUACAGGGAAGGCUGCAGAGAGAUGCUGGAUGAAUGUGUUCUUUAUUGGCCCACUGCAUGUCUUCUACCUGUAGGUAUAAAAAAUUAAUGAGCCUUCCAUUUUUCUCCAUUUAUAAUAUCCUAAUCCUGGCCAUAGGUUUGUCAUAAAUCACUAUGUGCUGACAGUAGAAAUGCAGUUUACCAUAAUAAGAAACCUGUUUCUUUCCCUUAUAUUGACUUUAUGAAAGUGUUAAAUGAUUGUACCCAAUAAAUCUUUCAAGCCAUGGA